UCUCUCAUGAGAAUGGUGAAUGACUCUUCCUGCUUCCUUGGGCUUAGUGGUCUUCUGUUAGUUCUUGGAAGCCUGGAAAUUGCUGGAGACAUGAGAAGUGAGAAUGGUGAUCCCUGCAAGGCAAAGAGUCUCUUGAAGUUUUUGAGGGGAACCGGACAAGGUUAAGAUUGAGAUGGAGAGGAGAGAAAGUCUGGAUCAAACACCCCACAAAAGCAUGGGUGAGAAACUGAUGAGCGUGGAUGUAGAAAUAGAGAAGACGGAGAAGAAACAACAAACUGCACAAUUCAUUUCUUUCUGUUGUCUGAAGUGGGAAACUCAGGAAUGGACACGGAGAAAGCUGUGGACUGCAAGAAUGGUAACACCAUGAGGGGAGCAUAAGUAUACAACUGCAACCAAAAUCGUAUCUCAAUUGUGGGUGUCAAGAGACAGUUUGGGAAACUCAAAUUUCUUCUCCCUCAUACACAGAACAUCUCGACUACACAGAAAAGUUAUGAUUUUUCAAGAA
Molecule: long non-coding RNA, 505 nt
Organism: Serinus canaria (Common canary)
Lineage: Eukaryota; Metazoa; Chordata; Aves; Passeriformes; Fringillidae
Exons: 3
Source: RefSeq, a predicted model, not a curated record